GAGGGGAUCAAAGCAGGGCGGCGGGUUGGGACUCAGAUCGGUUUGGGUUUUUGAGUGAGCUUUGGGGAUGGGGAGGCUCUAGAAAUGACCCCAUAGGCCCCAUCGAGGGAAAGCCUCACUUUGGCUCGCAGUGCUGAGGCGGGCAGGGCAGAGCAGUCCCAGGGUGUGUCGUCACAUGUCUCUCGUGCCUUCCGUGUCUUCCGCGCAUCUCGUGUAACGUGUCUCUUGCCUUAGCUCUCCCAGGGGCUUUUGAGAAACCCCGGGGUCCUUCCGGUCAUCUCCCAUCUUUGCGUUCCUCGGCCCGGGGCCGACACCGGCGAAGUUUCGAUUCGGGAGCUCGGACAGGUGUCGGAAUCGCAUCUCUCUUCAGAAGCAUCCGAUCGGAUGUCUUCUUAGGUCUUGUUCUCAGCUGUGUUGACAGCUGUGUGCAGUCAUCUUUCUUUACAGUGGAUAAGGACUUGUGCCGAUUCAAAGGCAGGCAGAGGCUUUCAGCCACAGGAUUCUCAGGCAUCCGUCUCCGCGGUUCUCGGAAUAAGUCGUUCCGUUAGCAUCUUUUUCCUCCGGGGUCAUCCGAGCCCGGCGGGCUCGCCUUCGGUCCCCCCUCGGUCAUCUCGUUCAGCAUUCUCUCGGUCCUCGUGAGGACUUUCUCGUCCCAGAGAGUUUUCUCUCCCCGUCGUGUCCCCUCGUCUCACGUGUCACGGGUGUCUGGGGGUAUUCGGUCCGGAACUGCUCUGCCCUGCCGCCCGGCCCCGUUGCAGGUGUUCAAGGACAAGUCCCGGGCACUUGUAAUUGGAGACUCGUAAUACGGGCUGUAGUUGGAGUCUAGGUAGUAUUCUUAUGUUGGCAGAAGGUGUCUGGAGCUGUGAAGUUACCCUGCAGCACUUUGACUUUUUUCCUAACUUUCUUUCAGAUGCGGAUGGAUCGACCUCCCGGCAGAGCGCCCCGUCCCAGAUGAGGCGAUCCCCCUGAGAAGGAAGUAAAGCUGGAUAGCAGCAGUGAAGGCGAAGCAUUGUGAAGGUGGUCUACUUGCAAGAUAUCCCAGCCCAGGAUGCCAGAGGACAGGUUCCGUGCAGAGAGGCAGAGCCGAAGUUUGCGAUCGGCCGCACCGAUCGGCCCCCGGCGCGGGGGACGUCUCGACGUACGCAUCCUAUCGAGGAUGGGUCUUGUCCUAUUACGUUACAAAAGGUCUCUGAUGCCUAUUUUCUGAGGAUCUACCAUUUGAUGUUGAGAAGCAGCAGCGAGAAGAUGUCUCGGGGCAUUUUGUUCAGCACAGUGUUUCAAAUAAGGGUUGCGGUCACUGUGUGAGUUAGAGUCUCCUGCUGUGUGUCAGAGCGUGUCUGUCUGUGAGAGUCGGUGGGUCUGGGUGUGCUUGUGAGUGUGCGUGUCGAGCGGUUCUAACCUUGUGUGUAUUGC
Long non-coding RNA from Poecile atricapillus (Black-capped chickadee), 1413 nucleotides. RefSeq lists it as uncharacterized. The record is from RefSeq and is a predicted model, not a curated record. The transcript has 5 exons. Lineage: Eukaryota; Metazoa; Chordata; Aves; Passeriformes; Paridae.